Molecule: long non-coding RNA, 834 nt
Organism: Hylaeus volcanicus
Lineage: Eukaryota; Metazoa; Arthropoda; Insecta; Hymenoptera; Colletidae
Exons: 3
Source: RefSeq, a predicted model, not a curated record
CUUAUUACCACCCUGACAACCACGUGGCGAAUCUUAAUUUAUUUUUACUGUUCAUAUUUGUUCAACGAUAGAAAAGAAUUUUAGAAGAAUAAAGAAUGGAUAGAACAAAUAUUAACAUCUAAAAACAACCCCAAUUAUGCUGGAAUGCAUAUUGAACCAGAUACAAUUAAUCUGGAGGGAAAUUAGCGUACUUGGUUUCCAGCAGAUUUCGUAAGCGUAGUUAACACGGUCAGACGAAUAUCUUAUUGCGUGAAAGUGGAACGAAACGUGUAGCUUCUGCGAAUGAAAGCUUUUAACAAGUCGUGCCAACAGGCCUUUCGCAUUAAAGGAGGAGAAAUAAAGCGAUUACAAUUGGCGGCGGUCCAACGCUUCCCAUUGAAGGGUGUUCCACGGGCUAACCUGGCGUGUACAUCGUGUAAUUGCUGGCUUUAUACACGCUUCGGAGCCUGCGCUUUCAUGAGAAUACAAAUUGCUCCUAAACGCUAAUGUUGGCAAUAAAAAACAUAACGAGUGAUAAGGAGAUUAACCUGGACAGUUCGUAAAUAAACCGAUAGAAAUUUGAUCGAGUGCCAUGCACAGAUGUGCACCGUUCUCACCUAGGUAAACAUUAAGUAGACAAAUAGUUGUGCUAUUUGUUCGAUAGUAAUUAGAAUUCUAAUCAUAGAGAAAUUUUGUUCAUCUCUGAAGCUAAGGCCAUAUCUCGAUGGAUGAAUGUGAAAUUUUAACAACGUGUAAAUUAAGAUUGCGUUAAUAUAGUUGAAAAUCUUUUUCAUGAUGCAAAAGUAAAGAUCAAGGUAAUAUUAGGAUUUUGUAUUGCUUCUAAUUCAGACGAGU